AUUUCUCUGAGGUGUUUGUCGGUGGGCCAGUCCCCUGAGCCGAUAUUUCAUACCACAAGAAUGUAGCGAUCCGUGGUCGGUGAGCACGCUCGGUUUCCGAGAAGCCUUAAGGCUGCGACGCUAUGUUCACCUUGAACCCAGGGUUCAAGGGUUACAGCCUGCGACGGCAUCUCGGAGAUUCC
This 182-nucleotide non-coding RNA is filed under the name Enterobacillus tribolii. Its description in RNAcentral is "6S / SsrS RNA". It matches the Rfam family "6S / SsrS RNA". From Rfam's summary of the family: E. coli 6S RNA was the first non coding RNA to be sequenced, but its function was unknown until recently. It consists of 184 nucleotides that fold into an extended hairpin structure with a large single-stranded internal bulge. The record is from Rfam by way of RNAcentral. Lineage: Bacteria; Pseudomonadati; Pseudomonadota; Gammaproteobacteria; Enterobacterales; Hafniaceae.